Molecule: RNase MRP RNA, 228 nt
Filed under: Puccinia sorghi
Lineage: Eukaryota; Fungi; Basidiomycota; Pucciniomycetes; Pucciniales; Pucciniaceae
Description: RNase MRP
Rfam family: RNase MRP
About the family: RNase MRP is an enzymatically active ribonucleoprotein with two distinct roles in eukaryotes. In mitochondria it plays a direct role in the initiation of mitochondrial DNA replication.
Source: Rfam by way of RNAcentral
GGCUAGUUAGCCAAGGACCAUACUUUUGUGUUACACUUUCAGCUUCUCAGCUAUAACACCUUCAACACAAGGAGAAAGUCCCCGGAAUACUCAGCUGUCCAACGAUUAAUGAUGGGUACAAGGAUAGUUGUCAAUUUCAUUCCAUUCAAUGUUUAUUCAUAGGAACAAAAGUAAUAUGGUCAUCCUAUAUAAUAGGAAAACAUAAUGGGGCUUACUCUGGCUUUUAUC